GCAAGUCGGAACGAUGAAGCACUCUGCUUGCAGAGUGCGGAAGAGUGGCGAACGGGUGAGUAACACGUGGGGAACCUGCCCAUAAGAGGGGGAUAACAUCCGGAAACGGGUGCUAAUACCGCAUAGGUGAUCAUAGCGCAUGCUUAGAUCAUUAAAGAUGGCUUCGGCUAUCGCUUAUGGAUGGCCCCGCGGCGUAUUAGCUAGUUGGUAAGGUAAUGGCUUACCAAGGCAGUGAUACGUAGCCGACCUGAGAGGGUGAUCGGCCACACUGGGACUGAGACACGGCCCAGACUCCUACGGGAGGCAGCAGUAGGGAAUCUUCCACAAUGGGCGAAAGCCUGAUGGAGCAAUGCCGCGUGAGUGAAGAAGGUCUUCGGAUCGUAAAGCUCUGUUGUUAGAGAAGAACAAGAGGUGUAGUAACUGGCACCUCCUUGACGGUAUCUAACCAGAAAGUCACGGCUAACUACGUGCCAGCAGCCGCGGUAAUACGUAGGUGACAAGCGUUGUCCGGAUUUAUUGGGCGUAAAGCGAGCGCAGGCGGUCUUUUAAGUCUGAUGUGAAAGCCCACGGCUCAACCGUGGAUGGUCAUUGGAAACUGGAAGACUUGAAUGCAGAAGAGGAAAGUGGAAUUCCAUGUGUAGCGGUGAAAUGCGUAGAUAUAUGGAGGAACACCAGUGGCGAAGGCGACUUUCUGGUCUGUAAUUGACGCUGAGGCUCGAAAGCGUGGGGAGCGAACAGGAUUAGAUACCCUG
This 752-nucleotide ribosomal RNA is filed under the name Alkalibacterium sp. LCKS745-Isolate3. RNAcentral describes it as "bacterial SSU rRNA". It matches the Rfam family "Bacterial small subunit ribosomal RNA", at positions 57 to 789 of the family's 1533-position model. The record is from RNAcentral. Lineage: Bacteria; Bacillati; Bacillota; Bacilli; Lactobacillales; Carnobacteriaceae.